AAAGAUACAAUAACAUGUAGUGGAUCUUCUAUUAAUCUUGGAACCAGCCCAAUCAGCAUCUGCAAAACACUCAAUGAGUAUGGUUGUGAUUGCUAUACAAUAUGCCAAGUCCAGGAGCUCCUUUCAAGUAACAUACUGUUCUAAAGCUGCCCAAUGCUCGACCGUAGGUGUAGACAUGAAUUGACUUACAACACUUACUUCGAAGGCAAUAUCAGGACGAGUCACUGUGAGGUAGUUUAACUUCCCAACUAUCCUUCUAUACCUCUCUGGAUUAUCAGAAGGGUCGCCAUCUUUCAUGAGAUGCACAUUGGGAACCAUUG
RNAcentral lists this long non-coding RNA (320 nucleotides) under Solanum tuberosum (potato). RNAcentral describes it as "long non-coding RNA (STUB_LNC000110)". The record is from RNAcentral. Lineage: Eukaryota; Viridiplantae; Streptophyta; Magnoliopsida; Solanales; Solanaceae.